RNAcentral lists this long non-coding RNA (706 nucleotides) under Homo sapiens (human). RNAcentral's name for it is "HSALNT0357391". Lineage: Eukaryota; Metazoa; Chordata; Mammalia; Primates; Hominidae. The record is from RNAcentral.
UCCCGCCCCCGCACUCAGGCCACGCCCUUCGUAGGAGGCCCUGCCCUCUCCACCGAAGCCCCGCUGAGGCCCCACGCACGCACUCUUCGCAAACGCAGUUCUUCAGCCUUCGCUGAUAGAGAGUUGGCAGACUGCGGAGGGCGUUAGACAGCCCCAAAUCCUGGGCUGCCGGGAGGCAAUAAGAGCAGAAGAUGAAGGGCUUGGAGCCAGGGAUGAGCCUGAGGUCUUAGGGGAGGAUAGAGAACCAGAGAAUGAAAGCCGAGCAGGCUCCUUUAGCUUCUUGGAGAGAAGUGGGUUGAGAUUAGGAUGGAGCUGGCGGGGGCCUUUCUUCUUUAGGUUCAGGGGUUUGCCCAGGAGACCAGGGCUAGGGGUCAAAAAGAGCCAACGCCCAGCAGGCUGCCCUGAGUGCCACGGGGUCAGUCAGGCCCCUGGAAGGAAUGAUCCCGCUAUGGCCAAGACAUUUUUGGAACGUAUAGGAAAGCAUGUAGAACAAUUCAGCUUGAGCCUCACCAGGUCUUCCCAUGGUGCAGGCUCCACAUGCUCUGCCCUGGCCAGGUCUGCAGGGUAAUGGCUGCUCUGAGAAGGGCGAAGUCUGGACACAGACCCAGGCACACAGGGAGGAUGCCACGUGCUGACUGGAGUGAUGCUGCCACACACCAAGGAACCACCAGAAGUGGAGGGAGGCCUGGACAGAUCCUUCCGCAGA